Molecule: long non-coding RNA, 794 nt
Organism: Micropterus dolomieu (smallmouth bass)
Lineage: Eukaryota; Metazoa; Chordata; Actinopteri; Centrarchiformes; Centrarchidae
Exons: 3
Source: RefSeq, a predicted model, not a curated record
UAAUCUCAACACAGAGGCAGAAGAGCUGAUCGUUCCCAUGUACACAUGAUGCGUUAGCAGAGGCCGACUGACGGAGCUACAUGGUGAAGUGUCUUGUGUAGUCGUAUUCUAUUGUGGGAAUGACGGCCUGGACAAACUUGAGAAAAAUCAGAAGAUACCUGAAAGUCCAAGUUAAGGAAAAAACGGAGGAGUAUGGAGGGAAAUUACGUGGGCGUUUAUCUGGGGUGGACAGAGCACAUGGCAGGUGGAGGAAGGUGCGGGUGGUUCUCGAUGGUGACCGUCUUCUUCACAUGGUCCUGGCUGAUGUCCUCGUACAUCUGCUCUACAGUCAGCGGUUGCCUGUCCUGGGAGACACCACAACAGCUUGAUGAGCUGAUGCUCUGUUUUUGGUCUCCACCAGCUCCUGAGGGAAAUAUCUGGCUCUGUAGCUGCGACAUGCUGCUGACCUGGUUGUGUAUUUAAUCAGAAUGAAACAUACCUUAUUAUUGUCCAGUGAAAUAUCUUGUACAGCAUCUGUGACUCCUGACACACCUGCCGGAACACAUCAGUCAGAGAAAUUCAGACCAUCUUUAUAGACUUACACAUACUGAGGUCUCACAGUCAUCUUCAUUUUUAUUUUCAAUAAAUAUUUUACAUUAAAAAAACAUCAUCUUCAUUUCUAUAUAUUUUCAGUGCCUAUUCCCACUAAAAUUGUGACUUAUAUGUAGGGCGGGGCAAUAAAGCAAUAAUAGUAUUUAUUUUUGUUAAUAACAAUAUUACAAAUAUUCAAUAAAUGUUUGAUUUAUUCAUUUGAA